UAUGAUCCAGAGUACCACGGGACACGUGAAACCCUGUGGGAAGCAGGAGGGACCACCCUCCAAGGCUAAAUACUACCUAGUGACCGAUAGCGUAUAGUACCGCGAGGGAAAGGUGAAAAGAACCCCGGGAGGGGAGUGAAAUAGAACCUGAAACCCUGCACUUACAAGCUGUGGAAGCACAUUUCUUGUGUGACCGCGUACUUUUUGUAGAACGGGCCAACGAGUUACGU
This 230-nucleotide ribosomal RNA is filed under the name Clostridioides difficile. Its description in RNAcentral is "partial 23S ribosomal RNA". It matches the Rfam family "Bacterial large subunit ribosomal RNA", at positions 401 to 633 of the family's 2925-position model. Lineage: Bacteria; Bacillati; Bacillota; Clostridia; Peptostreptococcales; Peptostreptococcaceae. The record is from RNAcentral.